UUGCUUUCUUUGCUGGCGACCGGCGCACGGGUGAGUAACACGUAUCCAACCUGCCCUUUACUCGGGGAUAGCCUUUCGAAAGAAAGAUUAAUACCCGAUAGUAUAAUGAUUCCGCAUGGUUUCAUUAUUAAAGGAUUCCGGUAAAGGAUGGGGAUGCGUUCCAUUAGGUUGUUGGUGAGGUAACGGCUCACCAAGCCUUCGAUGGAUAGGGGUUCUGAGAGGAAGGUCCCCCACAUUGGAACUGAGACACGGUCCAAACUCCUACGGGAGGCAGCAUG
RNAcentral lists this ribosomal RNA (278 nucleotides) under uncultured bacterium. RNAcentral describes it as "partial 16S ribosomal RNA". It matches the Rfam family "Bacterial small subunit ribosomal RNA", at positions 76 to 353 of the family's 1533-position model. The record is from RNAcentral.